CCUACGGGUGGCAGCAGUGAGGAAUAUUGGUCAAUGGGCGGAAGCCUGAACCAGCCAAGUAGCGUGCGGGAUGAAGGCCCUAUGGGUCGUAAACCGCUUUUGUACGGGGAUAACACCCUCCACUUGUGCCCGUCUGCAUGUACCUUGCGAAUAAGGGUCGGCUAACUCCGUGCCAGCAGCCGCGGUAAUACGGAGGGUCCGAGCGUUAUCCGGAUUUAUUGGGUUUAAAGGGAGCGUAGGCGGGCGUUUAAGUCAGCUGUAAAAUCGCGCGGCUCAACCGCGCCCCGCAGUUGAAACUGGGAGGCUGGAGUUGGCGAGAGGCAGGCGGAAUUCGUGGUGUAGCGGUGAAAUGCAUAGAUAUCACGAAGAACCCCGAUUGCGAAGGCAGCCUGCCGGGGUGCGACUGACGCUGAGGCUCGAAGGUGCGGGUAUCAAACAGGAUUAGAUACCCGGGUAGUC
RNAcentral lists this ribosomal RNA (459 nucleotides) under uncultured bacterium. RNAcentral describes it as "partial 16S ribosomal RNA". It matches the Rfam family "Bacterial small subunit ribosomal RNA", at positions 338 to 795 of the family's 1533-position model. The record is from RNAcentral.